Lagopus leucura (white-tailed ptarmigan) is the source of this 486-nucleotide long non-coding RNA. RefSeq lists it as uncharacterized. NCBI's taxonomy places the organism in Eukaryota, Metazoa, Chordata, Aves, Galliformes, Phasianidae. The transcript is spliced from 3 exons. The record is from RefSeq and is a predicted model, not a curated record.
CUAUGAUUCACCGACUGCAUCACAUCCCAUAAAGUAUCUCAAUGCAGAGCUGAAGCAACUCCCCUUCAUCUUGAUGGCACAGUAGAAGAUAUUCACAAGGAUGCCAGGACAUAUUCUUCUGGUUUAAGUGGAGAAACAUUGGCACUGGACGUCACUGGAGCAAGAUCCUGAAGACUGGGGAGACUUCUGGAAAGGAGGUUGUGAGCAUCACUGUCAUGGCAAGGGCUUAACUUCUAGGAGCUGAUCACACUGAGAAAGAGAACUGCACGAGGCUGUUUCUGCUGCUUGCUGCUUUGAGACUCAACUUGCACUGAAAUGGUUAAAUUCAGCACUUCAUUUUUGCAAGUGCUCUCUUGAAUUAUUUUGGCUUUUGUGAAAUUUUCUUCCCCUAGAUUCAGUUGCUGGAAUAUCUAAAAAACACUUAAACAAGCAUAAAAGAAAUCCAACACAUCCAUGGAUAUUAAACCUGUUGGAUGUUACCUAAUG